Molecule: ribosomal RNA, 444 nt
Filed under: Triticum aestivum (bread wheat)
Lineage: Eukaryota; Viridiplantae; Streptophyta; Magnoliopsida; Poales; Poaceae
Description: partial small subunit ribosomal RNA
Source: RNAcentral
AUGAAGGAUUUAGGAGUGGCUGAUGUCAUUCUGAACAUCAAGUUGUUGAGAGACGAUGAUGAUGGGAUUACAUUGCAUCAAUCUCACUAUGUGGAAAAGAUCUUGAGUCACUUUGGCUAUAGUGACUGCAAGCCCUCUCCAACACCAUAUGAUGCGAGUGUGUUACUUCGAAAGAAUCGAAGAAUUGCUAGAGAUCAGUUGAAAUAUUCUCAUAUUAUUGGCUCGCUUAUGUACUUAGCCAGUGCUACAAGACCUGACAUCUCUUUUGCUGUUAGCAAACUGAGUCGGUUUGUCUCAAAACCAGGAGAUGUGCAUUGGAAAGCUCUAGAGAGAGUUUUGCGUUAUUUGAAGGCACUGCAAACUAUGGAAUUCACUACACCGGGCACCCAAAGGUGCUUGAAGGGUAUAGUGACUCAAACUGGAUCUCAGAUGCUGAUGAGAUAA